Molecule: long non-coding RNA, 306 nt
Organism: Musca domestica (house fly)
Lineage: Eukaryota; Metazoa; Arthropoda; Insecta; Diptera; Muscidae
Exons: 3
Source: RefSeq, a predicted model, not a curated record
CCACCAACAUCGGCAUCAUUAUCCACAGUUGGUGUUGUUGUUGUUUUUGUUGCUGCCGCUCGGUUAUCCAUUCUGACUGGCAGACUUAGAGUUGUUUUGGGUGCUAAUCGAUGUUCAAUAUAUAUUUUUUAAAGUGUUCAAAUCUAAUGGUCUUAUCAUGAACAGGAAAUGAAGUUCGCUAAUCAAAGAUACACUGUGGUUUAACUGAGCAUUAUAGCCUAAUUCGUAAAGUUUUUUGCACAUUUCAAGAACUUAAAAUUUUAAUUUAAACGAGAAUAAAACGACAUUAUUUAUAUUUUUCCUUUA